GAUGAAGAACGUAGCAAAAUGCGAUAAGUAAUGUGAAUUGCAGAAUUCAGUGAAUCAUCGAAUCUUUGAACGCACAUUGCGCCCGCCAGUAUUCUGGCGGGCAUGCCUGUUCGAGCGUCAUUUCAACCCUCAAGCCCUCGGGUUUGGUGUUGGGGAUCGGCGAGCCUUUCUGGCAAGCCGGCCCCGAAAUCUAGUGGCGGUCUCGCUGCAGCCUCCAUUGCGUAGUAGUAAAACCCUCGCAACUGGAACGCGGCGCGGCCAAGCCGUUAAACCCCCAACUUCUGAAUGUUGACCUCGGAUCAGGUAGGAAUACCCGCUGAACUUAAGCAUAUCAAUAAGCGGAGGU
Molecule: unclassified non-coding RNA, 346 nt
Filed under: soil metagenome
Description: partial contains 5.8S ribosomal RNA, internal transcribed spacer 2, and large subunit ribosomal RNA
Rfam family: 5.8S ribosomal RNA (bases 1-120)
Source: RNAcentral